RNAcentral lists this ribosomal RNA (656 nucleotides) under uncultured bacterium. Its description in RNAcentral is "bacterial SSU rRNA". It matches the Rfam family "Bacterial small subunit ribosomal RNA", at positions 24 to 669 of the family's 1533-position model. The record is from RNAcentral.
UCAGAUUGAACGCUGGCGGCAGGCCUAACACAUGCAAGUCGAGCGGAAACGAUGGAGUGCUUGCACUCCAGGCGUCGAGCGGCGGACGGGUGAGUAAUACUUGGGAAUCUGCCUGAGGGCGGGGGACAACCACUGGAAACGGUGGCUAAUACCGCAUAAUGUCUACGGACCAAAGUGUGGGACCUACGGGCCACACGCCUUCAGAUGAGCCCAAGCGAGAUUAGGUAGUUGGUGGGGUAAAGGCCUACCAAGCCGACGAUCUCUAGCUGGUCUGAGAGGAUGAUCAGCCACACUGGGACUGAGACACGGCCCAGACUCCUACGGGAGGCAGCAGUGGGGAAUAUUGGACAAUGGGGGCAACCCUGAUCCAGCCAUGCCGCGUGUGUGAAGAAGGCCUUCGGGUUGUAAAGCACUUUCAGUGGUGAGGAAGGCGUUGUCGUUAAUAGCGGCGACGAUUGACGUUAGCCACAGAAGAAGCACCGGCUAACUCCGUGCCAGCAGCCGCGGUAAUACGGAGGGUGCGAGCGUUAAUCGGAAUUACUGGGCGUAAAGCGCACGUAGGCGGUUUGCUAAGCAAGAUGUGAAAGCCCAGAGCUCAACUCUGGAAUAGCAUUUUGAACUGGCAGGCUAGAGUUUUGGAGAGGGUGGUAGAAUUU